CAUCUCUUUUCCUUCCUCAGCUAAAAACCCCCAAAGGCCAUUACAGAAAUCCAAAGCAAACUCGCUCCAAGCUUUUUACGUCGUCCUUUGGAUUCUACAGGGAAGCGCUGCAACAUCAAGAAGAGUCUGCCAGAAGAUGACAGUCGUAAAUGUUAGAAGAUUCCACUGAAUGUAAAAGCUUUAAAGUUACAAACAAAACAGGUAAACCUCAGACAUGUGUGAAGCACUCCUUCUACACGGAUCAAGUAAUACUCCGGCUUUGCCAGCGGGCUAGCCCCAAGGAAUAGUUUGCACCCAAGGGGAUUUGAACAUUUCCAAGACAAUCACAAACAAAACCGACAUGAAUAAGGAUUGAUGUGAAUAGAAAAUAAGCCUAAGGCCUAAGACCCAAUCAAAUUAAAGGCCUGAUCUCACAAGAGCCCCCCAAGGGAGCCUAUAAUAAAGGACCCCUACUCUUAGAAACUCGGGUACGUCUCCUCUCUUAGAAGAAUUCUCACCACCCUUUUUUUCUCUUUGAGGCAAAAAUACUGACUUGACCGUCGGAAGCUCCCCUGUUGGCCACGGGCCAGCGCCACUCCGGUGGUUCUCUUAUUGUUUUGCAGGUGACUCAUAGCCUCGCCUGGACAUGCGAAAUUUGGUAAUGAUUUUCCUCAUUUCUAUAAGCGUACAGCUUGGGCUGGGUUGGUGGUUCCCCUUCUCUCCUUUGGAUAUGUGUUCCUAUGUGACAGAUUUGUUUUCUAUUACAACUCUGCACCCAUUGAUAGCCACUCUCAAACCUCCCUCUCCCUCUGUAUUUCAACCCCCAAAGAAGAGGUCAGUAGGUGCCACUUUGGCUACAGCUUUGAAGAACUUCGACCCAACAAUGGAAUCAAGCUCAGAUCCGCUGCCCACUGCAGCUGUGUAUUUGUGAACACUCGUCGAUGAUUGUAGGUGUCUGCUCAACCAGUUCAAGUGAAAAAGAACACAACAUGAUUGCAUAGAGACAAAAUAAUUAUGAUUUGCUUGUUCUUGAAAAUAUUUUCUCCCCGAGGCAUCGUAGCUUGUGAUUUCUUUCGAACGAGAAGCUUGAACUGCCAUUGCUGACACGCCGUCCCAUCAAGUCGCAGACUAUCAACUUUAUCUCCCUAUGUGCAACCCACGUUGUACUUUGUAGAAUCUCUCUCAUUUUUUCCCAUGUGAAAUCAGCCACUUUAUGGCCUUGCUAUUAAUUUUUGAAUACUUCACAACUCUCUCAUGCAACUUAGUUAUAUGCUGUGGUUGUUGCUUGAGAGAGAUUGAAAGUGAGUCAAAAAAUUUUAGCUCUCACCUGAGGCCAUGCCGCGACACAUAGUCCAAAAAAGAAAAAGGAGAUCACCCCUCCAGGCUAAAAAACAAAAAAGAGAAAGAGAUAUGUCCUCUCUCACAGCAUAAAGAAGGACGAAAAAUAUGAACUUCUAGGUCUUCUUUCUCGAAGAAUCGACUUUGAGGUUUCUCUAUCAGUUUGAAUUCUUGAAUUCUUGUUCUUCUUCACUCUUAAUACUGCUUGGUUCAAUGGCCUCAACACAACCAGAACUGCCCCAACUAGAAAAGAAGACAAGAAUCCCAAGAAGAACAUUCAGGAGGAGAAAUCCAACUCUGAAGAAGAACGCCAUGGAACUCGGCAAAUUGUGCAACAUCCCAGUUUGUGUAGCUUCUUAUAGGCCUGACGGGAGUCUAAAUGUGGCAAAAAAGCCGGAAAGACGUGGAAGCCAUAAUUGACAAGUACAGGAACACUAACAAAGCAUUCAGCUUUUCUCUUGGUUCGUUGAAAUCCAAGAUGUUGAAGCAGUGGGCUGGGCAGAUAACCCAACUUCCUCUGCCCCAACCUGACCAAACAGCUCCACUAGCUGAGAGCGGAACAAUUCACCGCUGAACUACCAAAAUGAGCUGCCAUGUUGACAGGUAGUGUUUGAAUUGCCAAAAUGAGGCAGUCAUGCAGAGCAGAGGACCAACACGUCAGUCCCGUCCGUAGCAGAGGAGUUUGCAAGCACAACCACCUUGGUCCGCACCUACUGCCAGGUAACCGUGGGCAGAGGGCACCCACCUCUACCCAUGUCGAGCAGAGGUCCAGCACCUCUGCCCAAGUCGGGCAGAGGGCCCCCACCUCCUCCCACAUUUGGCAGCAGGCCCUACCUCUGCCCACGCUGAGCAGAGGACCACUACCUUUGCCCUUGACAGUCAGAGGGGCACCACCUCUGCCCGGAUAGGGCAGAGGGCUGCUGUUCCAUGACCAGGUAGGCAUCAACCACCUUGGUUGUGCAACUUCAGAAGAGCCCCAGGCAGAGGGCCCUACCUCUGCCCAUGUUGGACAGAGGACCAGCAUCUCCGCCCUCGUGGGUCAGAGGGCCGUUGUUGCAUGACUGGGCAGGCGUCAACCGCCUGGCCCGUGCAACUUUGAAAGAAGAGCCUCCAGUGUGAGAGUUGUGCCUCUACCCAGCUGGUGAAGGAAUUGCAUGGGAUCAACUGAUACGUUCAAAUUUCCUAGGGCUACGUAGCAGUACCAAAGCCUCAAGGAAGGCGGCAGUGAAGAAACCAGCAGUGAAUAAUGAGUAUAAUCUUCAUAUUUCUUUCCCUUUGUGUUUUAGCUAAUAGGAAAUGUAUUUCCAUUAGUUUAUUUAUUUCCUAGUUAAUUUUUCUGCAUAAUAUAACGACGGCUAGACCUAA
This is a long non-coding RNA of Alnus glutinosa, 2682 nucleotides long. RefSeq lists it as uncharacterized. The transcript has 3 exons. Lineage: Eukaryota; Viridiplantae; Streptophyta; Magnoliopsida; Fagales; Betulaceae. The record is from RefSeq and is a predicted model, not a curated record.